AUCCCUGUAUCGCAAUGGAUAGCAUGUUGGACAUCUAAUCCAAAGAUAAUGGGUCCAAAUUCCACCUGGGAUG
This is a non-coding RNA of Trichonephila inaurata madagascariensis, 73 nucleotides long. NCBI's taxonomy places the organism in Eukaryota, Metazoa, Arthropoda, Arachnida, Araneae, Nephilidae. The record is from the annotation of a GenBank genome assembly.